Molecule: unclassified non-coding RNA, 188 nt
Filed under: fungal sp.
Lineage: Eukaryota; Fungi
Description: partial internal transcribed spacer region
Rfam family: Eukaryotic small subunit ribosomal RNA (bases 1-46)
Source: RNAcentral
AAGUCGUAACAAGGUUUCCGUAGGUGAACCUGCGGAAGGAUCAUUAACAAAUCAGUGUGCUGGGACCUUUAGGUACCAGCAUAUAUGCUCUUACACUUUACAGUGUAAUUGCACAUAACAGCAUAUCGUAUCUUGUCACAAUCUUUAGUAAUUUAAAAACACUUUUAACAAUGGAUCUCUUGGCUCUU